AAUAAAACCGUUGCCUCGGCGGGCGGUCCCCCCAACCAAACCCCACGUGGUGGGUUAGGGGACCAGACAGUCCGGCACGCUUAAGGCGUCCGGCGCCAGCCGCUGGCCCCAAACAAUUAAACUCUAGUAACCUUUACCUUCUGAGUUUUAAUAUUUAAAAAUAAGUCAAAACUUUCAACAACGGAUCUCUUGGCUCUGGCAUCGAUGAAGAACGCAGCGAAAUGCGAUAAGUAAUGUGAAUUGCAGAAUUCAGUGAAUCAUCGAAUCUUUGAACGCACAUUGCGCCCGCUGGUAUUCCAGCGGGCAUGCCCGUUCGAGCGUCAUUUCAAUUCCUUCCUGGGUGACUCUUCUACUAAAUUUUUAGUGGGGGUGUCUACUGGGGCGUUGGCACUGGGCGCCACCUUUUUGGAGGCGGCCGGAGCCGAAAUAAAGUGGCGGACGCGCAGCGGCCCCUAGCGCAGUAGAACAUCCUUCUCGCUUGGGAGACCUGCAGUGGUGGACCACAGCCCUCUACAUAUAUUAUAUGUAAAAGCUAUAUGAAAACUUGACCUCGAAUCGGGUAGGACUACCCGCUGAACUUAAGCAUAUCAAUAAGCGG
RNAcentral lists this ribosomal RNA (598 nucleotides) under uncultured fungus. RNAcentral's name for it is "eukaryotic LSU rRNA". The stretch from base 170 to 323 matches the Rfam family "5.8S ribosomal RNA". The record is from RNAcentral. Lineage: Eukaryota; Fungi.